GCUCCCACCUAGAUGAUGAUGGACUGAACCUCUGAACCUUCCUCACUCCCUCCCUGAGACCCUGAUGACUGACUGAGCUGGCUUGGUCAGGGGAUACAGGCCCCCAAGAGGUGCUUUGCUCAACACAUUGAAUCCUUACUUGGUCCCAUACGGAAAGAGUCCUGGAGGCUAAGACAGACCACCUCUACAUGGAAAUGAUUAUCUCUGACAAAGAGGAUGCAGCCAGAAGCAGAUCCCCUCCUGUGAUGGCACCGGCAGUUGCAGGGAUGGAAGCUGGGGCCUCGCACAUGCUCGGCAACACUCUGCUGCCACCGAACCUCAUCC
Molecule: long non-coding RNA, 324 nt
Organism: Mus musculus (house mouse)
Lineage: Eukaryota; Metazoa; Chordata; Mammalia; Rodentia; Muridae
Product: predicted gene 29630
Exons: 4
Source: RefSeq, a predicted model, not a curated record